GUAAUUCUAUGUAAAAUAUAAAAGUACGCGUACGGAAAGUUAAAUAAUUUUUCAUAAUUUAAUAAAAAUUCACAGAUGGCCACAAUGUGAAACUAUGAAACUGCGUCAUUUUGUAUGUUCUUUUUUGAAAUUCGAAUGCAGUCGAUAAUAAUUACCGACGUAGUGCAAUUGACGGUUGAUCUAAUCGUAAAACCUAAACGUUUGAAAUAUCGAACUCCUGGUGUAUCUUGGAUUAAUAAUUCAUUAAUAUGGUCGGGAUAGCAGAAAAGAAGUGUCACACAAAUUAGCAGAUACGUUAUUACUAAGCUUGAACUUUGCCAAGGUAAUCAAAAUUCAGAAAAAAUUAAAUUCGCAGAAAUCAUGGUCGAACGUUAAUUGAUGGCGUAACAACGUUGAGAAUCAGAAUAAAGGAAUCAAGAGCAAGAAAACUGCCUCGACCAGUUCUUCGGGGAAGCCUUGACCGUUCACUCUACCUGUCAUCCGGUUAGAAAACGCUUCAAUUCGCACUACGUAACGCAGAUGGAAUCCACGACUCGCAAUGCGUGAAGACAUCAGUCAGGAACAUCGUUGUCCUGUCCCGUUCCAGCAGGAGUUAUAUAGGCGGAUGCACGGAUGCUGGAAACGACGGAAGAAGAACAUAAUUCUAAACAAAGACAACAGCAAAAUGACCUGUUGCCAUCAAACAUGUUACAUAAAAUUGAAAUAGAUUCAUGAUCCCCUUGUCCCUUAACUACUGCCGAAGGACGUUCGCUAAGGUAAUGGAUUUCGAAUUGGCAUCUACAUUUGCUGGGAAGAGAAAAAAAAAAAAUUCGGAUCUCCCGUUUCGGGACCUCUCAAGCUUGCGUAAAUGGAAUUCCCCUGACUUAAUCGAAAUGCAAAUCGUUCUUGAGAUUUUAACUACUCACAGUACGUUAUAUAAAUAAGGAUAAAGUCAUUCAGUAAACGAAGAUGGAGGCAGAAGACGCUUAAAUUUAAAGAAGAGUUUGUUGAGUUUGAAAUGCAUUUAUCUCGAUUUCCUGUUUCUUUGCUCGUUCUUCCAGCAUCCCAGUGUCCCUGCAAUUUACAUUCAUCCUUGAUGCAAGGAGGUCGAAUAAUUAGCAAGGUUCGUUAAGCUCAGCUCGUGCAAAAGACCAGAGG
This is a long non-coding RNA of Osmia bicornis bicornis, 1137 nucleotides long. RefSeq lists it as uncharacterized. Lineage: Eukaryota; Metazoa; Arthropoda; Insecta; Hymenoptera; Megachilidae. The record is from RefSeq and is a predicted model, not a curated record. The transcript has 4 exons.